Molecule: ribosomal RNA, 254 nt
Filed under: uncultured bacterium
Lineage: Bacteria
Description: partial 16S ribosomal RNA
Rfam family: Bacterial small subunit ribosomal RNA
Source: RNAcentral
UACGGGGGGGGCAAGCGUUGUUCGGAAUUACUGGGCGUAAAGGGCUCGUAGGCGGCCAACUAAGUCGGACGUGAAAUCCCUCGGCUUAACCGGGGAACUGCGUCCGAUACUGGAUGGCUUGAGUGUGGGAGAGGGAUGCGGAAUUCCAGGUGUAGCGGUGAAAUGCGUAGAUAUCUGGAGGAACACCGGUGGCGAAGGCGGCAUCCUGGACCAAGACUGAAGCUGAGUGAGCGAAAGCCAGGGGAGCAAACGGG